CCCCCUGUAGUUUAAGUUAAAAAUAAUAAACUGCAAAUUUAUAGAUGGGGGGAAUUUCCUCAGGGGGU
Molecule: transfer RNA, 68 nt
Filed under: Mactra antiquata
Lineage: Eukaryota; Metazoa; Mollusca; Bivalvia; Venerida; Mactridae
Description: tRNA-Cys
Rfam family: tRNA
About the family: Transfer RNA (tRNA) molecules are approximately 80 nucleotides in length.
Source: RNAcentral